RNAcentral lists this ribosomal RNA (497 nucleotides) under uncultured bacterium. RNAcentral's name for it is "partial 16S ribosomal RNA". It matches the Rfam family "Bacterial small subunit ribosomal RNA", at positions 28 to 507 of the family's 1533-position model. The record is from RNAcentral.
GAUGAACGCUGGCGGCGUGCCUAAUACAUGCAAGUCGAGCGAACAGACGAGGAGCUUGCUCCUCUGACGUUAGCGGCGGACGGGUGAGUAACACGUGGAUAACCUACCUAUAAGACUGGGAUAACUUCGGGAAACCGGAGCUAAUACCGGAUAAUAUAUUGAACCGCAUGGUUCAAUAGUGAAAGACGGUUUUGCUGUCACUUAUAGAUGGAUCCGCGCCGCAUUAGCUAGUUGGUAAGGUAACGGCUUACCAAGGCAACGAUGCGUAGCCGACCUGAGAGGGUGAUCGGCCACACGGGAACUGAGACACGCUCCAAACUCCUACGGGAGGCAGCAGUAGGGAAUCUUCCGCAAUGGGCGAAAGCUUGACGGAGCAACGCCGCGUGAGUGAUGAAGGUCUUCGGAUCGUAAAACUCUGUUAUUAGGGAAGAACAAAUGUGUAAGUAACUAUGCACGUCUUGACGGUACCUAAUCAGAAAGCCACGGCUAACUACGUG